RNAcentral lists this long non-coding RNA (224 nucleotides) under Ananas comosus (pineapple). Its description in RNAcentral is "long non-coding RNA (ACOM_LNC031490)". The record is from RNAcentral. Lineage: Eukaryota; Viridiplantae; Streptophyta; Magnoliopsida; Poales; Bromeliaceae.
GCGAGCGGGGCGGUUGAGGAUCGCGGCAAGGGCAUAGCGACCUAGGUAGUGGACUCCUAUGGCAUUAGUUGUACCCUUUAUGUUCAUCUUUUGUUUUGAUGAAAAGGACUUGUAUAAAUGUUAACUUGGGAGGUGUAUCAUGUAUAUAAUGAUGUAUGAAAAAAAGAGUUGUAUUUUGGUUAAAGUAAUCAAAGUUCAAUGUAUGGAUGUAAUAGAUAGAUUUA